This is a long non-coding RNA of Eriocheir sinensis (Chinese mitten crab), 2525 nucleotides long. RefSeq lists it as uncharacterized. The transcript is spliced from 2 exons. NCBI's taxonomy places the organism in Eukaryota, Metazoa, Arthropoda, Malacostraca, Decapoda, Varunidae. The record is from RefSeq and is a predicted model, not a curated record.
AUAUCUUUCAUGUGAAAUUACUGUUGUAGAUUCAGACACUGACUGAGACUUCCUGAUAAAUAAUCUAUGCAUGCCCUAAAGCUUGGAAUGAAGGGCAUACUAAAACUCAUUCAUAAAUUUACUGAAUAAAAAAAAUCUAGAAGCUUCCUUUAAUGUAACUGCUUGUCUUACAACCCUGAUGCGUCAUCAUGUAAGUAUACAUUUCUUUUAUAAGCUGCACAGAGUAGGAAGAUCCUUCAUUGAGUGCUUCAUGAAUCUUUGAAUCACAUUAUUGAAGCUGAUGCAGACUUGAUCAUCAGUCAAACUUCAUGGCAUUAGGUAUUGUCCGGAUAUGUUUAGAUGAAAUUAGUUAUUACUUUGCAGGAUGGCUACAGUCAUCCUGAUUUCAUCGUAGUACAAUAAAUACAGUAUAAAUCACCUUGCCUGGCACUUCAAGUAGUUUAAAUAACCAGCAUUUGUUAUAAUCUUAUCCUUCCCUUUCCUCUUUUCAGAUGAUGAUGGUCAACAAGGGCAUGAAGAUGGCUAACCUUAAUCUGCUACUAACAAGGGCCACUGGCUUCUAAACAGGACUAAUAAGGGAAGCACUGAUGAGAAAGGGUGCAUUAGUUCCUUAACAAUAUCAUAAUGGAUUGCUUGAGACACUAACUGCAUGCUUCCCCAAGUUGGGGGAGACAAGAUGCUGAGAUUUCGCAUGGCAGAAGAGCUUAAAGGAACCCCUGAGACUUCUUGAGAAGAGGAGGAAAUAGAAUCAAUGGAUAAAAAGUGAAAACAAGUCGAUGUACGGCAAAACUGAUCAGUAGGUCUGGAGUCAUGGGGGUCUUUUCAUCUAUUCACUUCAUGACGCACACAAGAAUCUAGUCUAUUCAAGAAAACAAAUCUUUUCUGUGACAUUCUGCCUGAAAUCUGAACCUCGACCCCAAAAAUAUGAGGCGCACAUUCUAGUGUCGUCAAAAACUACACUGUAGCUUAAGGCCUGUGGACUCUUUGUUGGUGUCCUGCACCCUUUCACUUUCUAAUACUGUAGUAGGAUACAAUCCCCCAGCUUAUAAUCCCCUAAAACUCACAGUCAAAAAGGAGCAAUUGCAAUGAACUGGAUAUAAACCAAUCUGAAAUUAUCAAUGAUAUUCUGCUUCUUCAUUUUCUCACUUUUCUCAUCUUUGAAACUAUAAUAUUUCCAGCACAUCACUACCCCCCAUCGAGGUUUGAAGUUCUUAGUUAUAACUAGCAUGAUUUGGAUUGAUAAAUUCCUGGAGUAAAUAUUUCUUUGUAAAUUCAAAGAUAUAAAUUUAUAUUCAAAUCAUGAGACAUUUAAAUGUGAAGAAUUAAGUUAUCACAGGAACUUCAAGUCCUAUGACAACCUUCAUAUUUUUGCCUUUUAGCUUUCAUGCACAAAGAAUUACAACAUGCCUAACUGAGGUAAUAAUGCUCAUCAUUCUAGCAGUAGGCUCACUAGUUUCCCUGAGUUCCUGAAGGACACCUACCAUAAUACUCACAUGCAGUUUCAUUAAUUUACUCUCAGACAAUACACCUGUCCUCUAACCCUCAUCCCUACUCUUUGCAACCUCCUAACCCCACAAUAUACUAACAUUCCUUUGAGCUACAAUUUCCUUGUCCAUUCUCAUCAUAUACCAAAAUCAUCUGAGGACAUUCUCACACCAUAGCUGAACAUUAAUCUCAUAAAUUCCAGCCCAUCUCUUUAUAUUCCACAGAUUUUUCUUAGCAUGGCUGCAUAUAUUCAUAUAUACUGCAAAUAGUUAUGAUGAUGGAGUCAGUAUCAUAUCAUAAAAUAUAUAAAAAAAGUUCCAUAUUAAUGAAAAGUUGAGAAUGCCACUGAAACUAAUUUCAUCAAAACUUAACAAGCAGUUUAACUUCACAGAAACAGCUAAGGUUAACCUUAUGGAAAUAAUAUACUGAAAUGCAGAUUGUGAUGUAAAUAUAGAAAACUUGUUUUAAUUGUUAUUUAGACUUGAUCAGUUCACAUCUGACUAAUUCUGUUCCACUGACAAGAUUGGAAAGUCAUGUGCAACAGCGCUCAUCCAGUUUGCCACAACAGAUUUGCUGAUGCUGUAACUGAUUCUAAUUUUCUACACUUGAAGACACUGACAGUAUGUAAUGUUUUGUAACUUAUUUGACAGUGUGACAAUGUUGCUGAAAAUGUAAUGAUGUCUAAGACAGUGUAGGAUACCUUGUGAUAGUGUGGAAAUAUGACGGCAUGAAAUUGCUUAUAUGACAAAGUGGUUGUGAAAUGACUGCAUGAAUGUGUACAUAUUUUAUCCCAUGGUGGUGAUUACAAGGUGAAUGUUAGUGAUGAGUAUUGAUAUUGCUAUCAGAAUCAUUUCAAUAAUAAGUAUCAGUAUUCAUAUCAGUAUUGGGAAGCUAUCAGAGUAUGGGUAUCAGCUGAAUAAUGUGCCUUUUUAUUGGUGUCAGGAAAAUAUAUUGAUAUCAGCAUAGCCCUACUUCUGUUAGUUGAUACUUUGAAGAAUCCUAGGUUUGAUGACUGAAUAAAUCUAUUCCAGACAUCCUUC